UACGAAGGGGGCUAGCGUUGCUCGGAAUCACUGGGCGGAAAGCGCACGUAGGCGGACUCUUAAGUCGGUGGUGAAAUCCUGGAGCUCAACUCCAGAACUGCCUUCGAUACUGAGAGUCUCAGAGUCCGGGAGAGGUGAGUGGAACUCCGAGUGUAGAGGUGAAAUUCGUAGAUAUUCGGAAGAACACCAGUGGCGAAGGCGGCUCACUGGCCCGGUACUGACGCUGAGGUGCGAAAGCGUGGGGAGCAAACAGG
RNAcentral lists this ribosomal RNA (254 nucleotides) under uncultured bacterium. Its description in RNAcentral is "partial 16S ribosomal RNA". It matches the Rfam family "Bacterial small subunit ribosomal RNA", at positions 524 to 776 of the family's 1533-position model. The record is from RNAcentral.